This 437-nucleotide long non-coding RNA is filed under the name Ananas comosus (pineapple). RNAcentral's name for it is "long non-coding RNA (ACOM_LNC037367)". The record is from RNAcentral. Lineage: Eukaryota; Viridiplantae; Streptophyta; Magnoliopsida; Poales; Bromeliaceae.
AAUUUUAAUAUUUCAGUUUCGACCCCGUUUGGUCACCGAAAACUGUACCGAACUGUAAUCUUUAUCAGAUAGCUGUCGAAUUUUAUUUUCCACCUUCUGGGUGUCAGAAUGAUAUGAAACAUUAAAUCUGGCCUCAUAAAAAUAAUUCUGACUUAUCCUCCAGUUUUCAUAAUUUUCUGAAACUGUGUAUUUUUUGCUAAUUUAUUUGUCCCGUUUCCAACAGAAAAUUCUAAAUUUUCUAUUUUCACUUCGAUUUCAGCACAAGUCACUUCUGACUUAUGUUUUACUCCUCUAAAUCCAAUAAAAAUAGUAUCUCACACUAUUUUUAUUUAUUUUUAUUUUUAUACCAAAAUCUAGUAUGUUACAUUCUCCACCCCUUAAAAUAAUUUCGUCCGCGAAAUUCAAACCACGCCUCAAUUCAGCUCCGUGAGCAAUUG